AAGAGAUUAAGUAAUAAAAUAGCUGCUAACUAAUUUUAUAAGCGGUUAAAUUCCGUUUAUCUCUUU
RNAcentral lists this transfer RNA (66 nucleotides) under Idiocerini gen. 'Neoamritatus' sp. Its description in RNAcentral is "tRNA-Ser". The record is from RNAcentral. Lineage: Eukaryota; Metazoa; Arthropoda; Insecta; Hemiptera; Cicadellidae.